CCUUGGGGUGGUUCGGACGACUGCCCCCAUUUCUCCCAGCCAGCAUGGCUCGCCGCCCACACAGCCGGGAGCUAUGGGAGCUGUAGUCCAACCAAGGGCUUGCAUGCAAAUGCAGGAGAGAGCCACCAGUGUGUGGGGGGGGAACGGAGUGUGUCAAAUGAAAAGACUCAGCUUGGUUCCCUCCUUUAUUGUUUCCCUCCUUUGUUUUUUCCUGCCAGUGGGGGGAACCUUUAUUGCAAACAGUCAGGGCCGCCAAGAGGGAACCCGUCCUCUUCUCCUUCUUCGGCCGCCUGCUCUUCUAUUUUUUUGCCUGCCACGGUGACAGGGCGGCAGUCUAUUUUAGGGCCUGAUAGACCCAAUCCGAGUCGGCCGGUGCCUCGGACCAAGGAUGCUGCUGCUUGGGGCCCGAGGCCUCGGUUUGGGCGGCCCUUUGGAGGACGCUGGUGGGAACCGUGUGGAAGCGCGGUGGGGUCCCUCUGGCCUGCUGCUCCGGCUCCCGGGCCUUGCGGCACGGCUCUUGGGUCUCAAACUCCUCCUGCUGAUCUUCCUCGCUGCCACUUGUGGCUCCCCGGCGCCGGUGGAGCCUCUCCGGGCUGGCCGAUCGGCUCCCGGGGGGCGUCUGGGGGAGCACCGGGUAGAUGUACACUUUGGUCGGCCGAUGGGAGCGUGGCCGGAGUCCUCCUGUAUAUUCAGCAUCGUGGCUGGCCCCUACCAGGCGGUAGCGGGUCUCCCCCACCUGCGUCCGGGGGUAGAGUUCUGUGCCCACGGCCAUGUCAUUCCGGCGUUCCUGGCUGCCCGGAUAUAACAUGGGCUCGGAGGCGCCGUCGGCCACAUCCCGGCAGCGAACGAUGGGGGCAUAAGCAGCAGGGGCCGAGGCGGCGCGCAGACGGUACCGGUUCUCGCAGUCACAAGAUUUCUUGGAACAAAACGGUGGCUUCAGACUCAUUUUUCAUUUUACUUUUGUCCUCUCCCCUGUAUUUUUGUGGCCGUUGAGACAUCGUUGAAAGCUAGAUAGGCUGCAAAAACGCAUUAGAAGAAUAUUACACUCUGUUUUCCAAUCGAAUGCCUCCCAAAGGAGCAUACAAUAAAUUGAAAAAGAACUGCUGUUUCA
Molecule: long non-coding RNA, 1111 nt
Filed under: Pogona vitticeps (central bearded dragon)
Lineage: Eukaryota; Metazoa; Chordata; Lepidosauria; Squamata; Agamidae
Description: lncRNA (ENSPVIG00000010686.1)
Source: RNAcentral